Molecule: long non-coding RNA, 393 nt
Filed under: Mytilus galloprovincialis (Mediterranean mussel)
Lineage: Eukaryota; Metazoa; Mollusca; Bivalvia; Mytilida; Mytilidae
Source: RNAcentral
UUUUUUUUAUUAAUCUAGGCAAAAUUUUAUUAUCCCCGGGUGAACAGGGGUGGGGUGUUACACCGGGGUAGUCAACCAAUUAGAUUGUAGUAUGUUUGCUGCAUAAGAAAUAAUAUUUUAUAUCGCAGUUAAAGCGGGUAUCUAUCAUCUAUCUUUGCGGAGGUUAUAAUGAGGCAAUCAUUUUAUUCCGAGGGAACCGGCCGGGCAGAUUUGGUAAGUCAGAUUAUUUAUUUUAGAAAAAUAAUCAACUGCUACACACAAGAUUAUGUAUUACACAUGUAUCAUCUUACUGUAUAAUAGUAUUUGGAAGCCAGUUUAUUUUAAGGGGGAGCCAGCAUAUUUAUUACUAUUAUUUUCCUGACCAACACAUUUAUGUACGUGACCUGCCAGCUC